AUGAACGCUGGCGGCGUGCCUAAUACAUGCAAGUCGAGCGAACAGACGAGGAGCUUACUCCUCUGACGUUAGCGGCGGACGGGUGAGUAACACGUGGAUAACCUACCUAUAAGACUGGGAUAACUUCGGGAAACCGGAGCUAAUACCGGAUAACAUGUUGAACCGCAUGGUUCAACAGUGAAAGACGGUCUUGCUGUCACUUAUAGAUGGAUCCGCGUCGCAUUAGCUAGUUGGUAAGGUAACGGCUUACCAAGGCAACGAUGCGUAGCCGACCUGAGAGGGUGAUCGGCCACACUGGAACUGAGACACGGUCCAGACUCCUACGGGAGGCAGCAGUAGGGAAUCUUCCGCAAUGGGCGAAAGCCUGACGGAGCAACGCCGCGUGAGUGAAGAAGGUCUUCGGAUCGUAAAACUCUGUUAUUAGGGAAGAACAAAUGUGUAAGUAACUAUGCAUGUCUUGACGGUACCUAAUCAGAAAGCCACGGCUAACUACGUG
RNAcentral lists this ribosomal RNA (496 nucleotides) under uncultured bacterium. Its description in RNAcentral is "partial 16S ribosomal RNA". It matches the Rfam family "Bacterial small subunit ribosomal RNA", at positions 29 to 507 of the family's 1533-position model. The record is from RNAcentral.